AAUACCCCGACUUCGGAGGGGGUAUUUAUUAGAUAAAAAACCAAUGCCCUUCGGGGCUCUUUGGUGAUUCAUGAUAACUUAACGGAUCGCAUGGCCUUGCGCCGGCGACGGUUCAUUCAAAUUUCUGCCCUAUCAACUUUCGAUGGUAAGGUAUUGGCUUACCAUGGCUUUCAACGGGUAACGGAUUUUUAGGGAAAGAUCCCGGAGAGGGAGCCUGAGAAACGGCUACCACGUCCGAGGAAGGCAGCAGGCGCGCAAAUUACCCAAUCCCGACACGGGGAGGUAGUGACAAUAAAUACUGAUACAGGGCUCUUUUGGGUCUUGUAAUCGGAAUGAGUACAAUUUAAAUACCUUAACGAGGAACAAUUGGAGGGCGAAGUCUGGUGCCAGCAGCCGCGGUAAUUCCAGCUCCAAUAGCGUAUAUUAAAGUUGUUGCAGGUAAAAAGCUCGUAGGUGAACCUUGGGCCCUGGGCUGGGCCCGGUCCGCCUCACCCGCGUGUACUGGGUCCGGGCCCGGGGCCUUUUCCUUCUGGAGAACCGCAAUGCCCCUUCUCUGGGGGUGCCCGGGGGAAACCCAAGGGACCUUUUACUUUUGAGAAAAAUUAGAGUGUUCAAAAGCAGGGCCUUUGCUCGGAAUACGUUAGCAUGGAAAUAAUAGAAAUUAGGACCGUGCGGUCCCUAUUUUGUUGGGUUUCUAGAACCGCCGUUAAAUGGAUUAAUAGGGGAUAGUCGGGGGGCGUCCAGUAUUCCAAUUGUCAGAAGGUGAAAUUCUUGGGAUCUAUUGAAAGACUAACUCCUGCGAAAGCAUUCGCCAAAGGAUGUUUUUCAUUAAUCAGUGAACGAAAAGUUUAGGGGGAUCGAAAGACGAUCAGAUACCCGUCGUAGUCUUAACCCGUAAACUAUGCCCGACUAGGGGAUCGGGCGAUGUUUCUAUAUUGACUCGCUCGGCACCUUACGAGAAAUCAUAAGUUUUUGGGUUCUGGGGGGAGUAUGGUCGCAAGGCUGAAAACUUAAAGAAAUUGACGGAAGGGCACCACCAGGCGUGGAGCCUGCGGCUUAAUUUGACUCAACACGGGGAAACUCACCAGGUUCAGAUGAAAUAAGGAUUGACAGAUUGAGAGCUCUUUCUUGAUUUUUCAGGUGGUGGGGCAUGGCCGUUCUUAGUUCGUGGCGUGAGUUGUCUACUUAACUGUGAUAACGAACGAGACCUUAACCUGCUAAAUAGCCAGGCUAGCUUUGGCUGGUCGCCGGCUUCUUAGAGGGACUAUCGGCUCAAGCCGAUGGAAGUUUGAGGCAAUAACAGGUCUGUGAUGCCCUUAGAUAUUCUGGGCCGCACGCGCGCUACACUGACAGAGCCAACGAGUUCAUCACCUUGGCCGGAAGGUCUGGGUAAUCUUGUUAAACUCUGUCGUGCUGGGGAUAGAGCAUUGCAAUUAUUGCUCUUCAACGAGGAAUGCCUAGUAAGCGCGUAUCAUCAGUACGCGUUGAUUACGUCCCUGCCCUUUGUACACCCCGCCCGUCGCUA
This 1525-nucleotide ribosomal RNA is filed under the name Parathyridaria flabelliae. Its description in RNAcentral is "SSU rRNA". It matches the Rfam family "Eukaryotic small subunit ribosomal RNA", at positions 174 to 1681 of the family's 1831-position model. The record is from RNAcentral. Lineage: Eukaryota; Fungi; Ascomycota; Dothideomycetes; Pleosporales; Thyridariaceae.